AUAUCCCUCUGAGAACUCAAGGCUAUGGGAUCUCCUAUAUCCCUAUGCCGUUAGGGCUUAGGUGGGUGCGGCGGUAUCGUUUACUAAUUGGAGUCUGACUGGGUGCUUCAAUUGAGGUGCGGCGAAAAUCCAGCACAGAUUCAAGGGGCGAGUUGCGUCCGCGUGGUAGGUCCGCCUUCCACGUGGGGCGUGGGUCCUACGCAGCGGCCUGGAAACCCUAGGAUGCCGUGCCAUAAAGGAGCAGGUAGUGCGUCCCUCUUUAUAGGGGCGUGGCCCUGUAUUCACAGCCGGCAAACGCUGCUACUUCCUAUCAGACCGCAUGAACCCGUAAGGGGGAUGGACUUAGGGGGGCACGCAUAUAGGUUAGGGUGCUUUCCUGGUCCUUCGGGGCUGGGCGGGCGGACCGGACAGUCGAUAACUGUGUCUGGCCCUCCGGGGCCUACCUUUUAUCCAGCAAUGGGCCUGACGAUACUGAAAGCGUGUUGGGGCUGGUAUCCUGGGACCUUCUCGUGGUGGCCCUGUUUGAACUGACCUUACCAGGAUAUUUGACCUGCUCUCAGAAAUUCAGUCUAGUUUUCGAAGUGUCACACAUUUGUUUGUUUUGGGGUUUUUUGGUCAAAUCAACCAUGCAUCAAUGAAAUCUUUGCAUCACUCUGUUCAUUUGAUAAAUUUCUACAAUUUUGGACCACAGUGAAAUCUUAUACUUUGCCUUGAGGGAAAAAUUAAAACCCUGACUUCCUCUUCAUCAUUUUUUUCCAUUCAGGUUCAAAACAUGCCUAAAAACCGUUUUCCCAAAAAAAUGGAAUAAAAGUUUUUUUUUUUUAGACAUCUGACUCUUUUUCUCAGAGCAGGUCACAUCAAUUUGGUUGAUGUAUUUCUUUGAGAUGUUCACAGACAAAGGACUAAUCUUUAUUUGUCUUUGCCAUUUGUUGCAGAUAAUUUAUCUGGUCACCUUACGCUGGCAACACACUGACAUACGUCCAUCAAACGGUCUUUGCAGAAUCCUACUGCAGUGAUGUGACAUUUAAUCAAAGCUGAAGACUCAUGGUCCAUGCAUCGGCCUUGUGACGGCAGCUAUGUGUGGCUGAAAUGCACUGUGCAAGAUGAUGUGUGAGUUUCUGCUUACUGAUGACUUGUUGCCAUAGCUACAACAAUUAAGUCUUUAAAAAAUCCAGUCAGUAAUUUCAUGGACAUGUAUGUAUGUUGUAAUCUCAAUUUCAUCUUUUAAUGCAUAUUCAGUUUAUUUUUGUCUUAUAUCGACAUUUAAACUUAUUCCUUACAAUUUCUUUCCCCCUCCCCCCCCCCCCCCAAAAAAAAACCCCAGUGUUGUGAUUGUGACGGUUGCAUCGUUAAGUACAUUUAUUCUAACCAAGUUAUUCUCACUUAAUUGCCUUGUUUGCCAAUUUUAUAACUUUACAGACUUUCAGACCAGUUGCUGUUAUUUAAUGUUUUAAUUGAUGACUUACCAAACUUUCAAGCAUUUAAGCAAAGCUGAAAUUUGAAUUAGCCAAGCUUCCCUAAUUUUACAGCCAUUGUACAUGUAUUUACAAACUGUUAACUUUUUUUUUUGGCAUGAGAAAAUUUUUAGUGAAGACUAUUACUUUUAUUAGCGAUAUAAGUAAAUAUUGCAAACACUGUAUUUUCUUCCGUUUAUCAGUUUUGCUCUCUUGAUGGUCAGAAGUUUAAUGUUAAUUUAGGGAAGUUUGAUAACGUCUCGGUUUAACAUUUGUUCUGAAAUUCAAAUAAAUGAGUUUGACGGCA
This is a long non-coding RNA of Patiria miniata (bat star), 1761 nucleotides long. RefSeq lists it as uncharacterized. The transcript has 2 exons. The record is from RefSeq and is a predicted model, not a curated record. Lineage: Eukaryota; Metazoa; Echinodermata; Asteroidea; Valvatida; Asterinidae.